UUACUCUCUAAUGCCCCUGACACGAGAUAGAUACUCAAUAAAUGGUCCUAUGAGUGAAUGAAUGUGUGAAUGAAUGAAUGAGCUGGUGGCAGGGUGAGAAAAGGAAACAGAUGUGUCUAUUAAGGGAAAACCUGCCUUGUGAUUGGUGCCUCUCAAGGCCUCAUUCAGGAUGUCUUCUCCGGAAGUUGGCUUUAGGGUGCUGCCUCUCCCGCUUUUGCCCCUUGGUGCUAAGUAAGAAGUUCCUCGAUGACGCUGUGCCGUCUGCCUGGCCUCUUCCAAGGAUUGCUUCAUUGGCUGCUGGCUCCUGGCUUUUCUGCUCUUGGCACCAAGUAGCUAUGAAGACUCUGAGACCUGGACCAUCCCAAGGCUGUAGCUUUCUUUCUUCAAGUCUGGCAGGCUCUGUCGCUGUGAAGAGUCUGAAGGCUUUUUCUUUUCCAGGUAAGCUGGGCAGAGGGUUUGAAGAGCACUGUGAAGUUAUGACUGUUUCUUCUUUAUUUUCUUUUCCCUCUCUGGGCCUAAGACACCAGAUUUAUUUAUUUAUUUAUUUUUUUUACAGUACAUUUUGGCAGGCCCCACUUUUUUUUCUGACAGAAAAAAAUAACAGGCAUAUUUUGGGCGAUUACUCAACUGGGGUCCUUUGUGACAGGAUAUGCUGCUGCGUGACUAAUGGAGCUGGCUUUCUCCUGGCUUCCUUCCCCUUUCAGAGCUCUUGUUUACUGCUCUAUACAAAAAAAAAAAAAAAAAA
RNAcentral lists this long non-coding RNA (745 nucleotides) under Rhinopithecus bieti (black snub-nosed monkey). Its description in RNAcentral is "lncRNA (ENSRBIG00000045147.1)". The record is from RNAcentral. Lineage: Eukaryota; Metazoa; Chordata; Mammalia; Primates; Cercopithecidae.